This is a long non-coding RNA of Triticum urartu, 778 nucleotides long. RefSeq lists it as uncharacterized. The record is from RefSeq and is a predicted model, not a curated record. NCBI's taxonomy places the organism in Eukaryota, Viridiplantae, Streptophyta, Magnoliopsida, Poales, Poaceae.
UCAGCUUCGGCCCAUGCGACAGAUUCCGGUUGGUCGAGCUGCUCCGCUGCCGGCCGGCGCCCCUCGCCGCCUCCCUCCAGUCCGGUGGCCACCCCGCCCUCUCGCCGUUCAAGCUAUCGAGCGCGCAUCCAGAGCACACAAAAGAGAGCGCGCCCCCGCGCGCGCGAUAUCAUUUCUCGCGUUCAUCUCCCGCACCCCCGGCCCCGUCGCCCCGCGCGACACGGCGGUUGCGCGAGCCCUAGCGAAUCUUCAGGCCCUCGGUGGAAUCGAAAUCAAGCUCGGGAUUCUGGAUCGCCGGCGGUCAGGCGGAGCGUGAAUGAUCUGGUGGUAUGUCCUCUGGAGGUGAUGCCUUGCCAGGGAGCCAAAGCUGGUGGUGGGAGAGGCGCCAUGCAUAGACAAGGACUAUUUCGAGAUGAGAAUGGGGUUCAAUCUAAUUUAUCCAGAGCAACAGUCCUCCUCUAUAAUGAGCCUCCAAUAUAAGCUAAGCUUGGCCUCGCCUUAAAAGAUGGAGUUAAGUUAGGUUCAGUUAGCCUCCAAUAUACUGUAUAACUGUACUGAAUUGGUACCCGGAUGCUCUUAAAGUGCACAUAAUCUUUUGCCAUCAGAUUAAAAUAUGUAAUGUGGUCGAAGAAGAAGAAGAUAGCUAUGGUAGCAAAUGCUGGGUUGAUUAAGUUCGUUGCUGCCAUUUAUGUAGUUGUUUCUUCAAGAUACGGGAGCUCUAAUCCAUGUAAAUCACUUUGGUUCUUGAACUGGUGCAUCUACUUGCUUGGGGCAGCCA